UUAAGUUCAGCGGGUAUUCCUACCUGAUCCGAGGUCAACCAGAGAGAUGUAUACAUACGAGACGUAUAGAUCGGUGUGUUUACGGCAAGGGCCGGGCCGCCGUCCGGAGCGAGGAGCAAGAUGUUACUGCGCUCAGAGGCCACCACGUCCCCGCCGAUCUUUUCGAGGGACCGCCUGGGCGGAAACCCCAACGCUGGACA
This 200-nucleotide unclassified non-coding RNA is filed under the name Sporidesmium sp. RNAcentral describes it as "partial internal transcribed spacer 2". Lineage: Eukaryota; Fungi; Ascomycota; Sordariomycetes; Sporidesmiaceae. The record is from RNAcentral.